GAGCCGGAACGCGGGAGGCGGGCGGAGGGGAGACGCGGGGAGGCCAGCCGGCGGGGAGAGUGGCGAGUAGGAAGGCCCUGACCGUGACGCCGUCUUAGUCCAACGCCGGUUUCUUUUUCUUUGCGCAAUGCCUUGAGGUUUCCCCUAAUUCGCUGGAACCAAUUUGGGGGAACUGGCCUGAUCCUUGCAGUUUCGUCGCCAACCUCAAGCCAGAAGGCCUACUUGCUCGCAUCCCCUUCUCUUUUUGGGAGCAGAAUUCAGUGUUCUCCGUGUCCGCCGCUGAGAGGGCUGCAGGCCCCUGGGGUUAAGAGGGGCGAGGAUCGAAGGCAACGGCCCGAUCGCAGAGGAGCUGGGACUCGCUUCUGAGAGCUCCGAGGACUGGCACGGAAUUCUCCGUCCUAACAUCCCUGUGGAAAUUGCCGUUUGUCCCAUUUAGCCUGCAACCUCGGUCCUUUCCCUUCCCCCACCAACAUUUCUGGGACUCAAGUUGUUGUGUUUCUCCUACUCCCUUCGACGAGGGAGCACAAUUAUAUUUCUACUUCGUCCGCAUUUGUGGAAAGAGGAAUGGGUGUUAGCCUCCUUACGCUGCGCCCGGGACCACUCUAAAGAGCCCAUGUCUUUGCGUAUUUGUGGGGAACGGUGCAGUAACGGGUUGGAUUUGUACGCAUUCUAUGCACAGUUAUAUGCACAUAAAAUGUAAAACACCGGGCGGAUGUCGAUGUCAAUAUUUUAACAGAAUCUUAGAAUGGGCGGGGAACAACUUAACGUUUUGUAUUAAGUGCCAAGAUUUCAACUGUGCAAAACAGUCCGGGGGAACAGCUGUUGUCGGAAGAAUUUUGCGCGCGCGCGCACACACACACACACACACUCAGGCUACGCUCACUGCUUGGUUUAGCGCUUCAGAAACUUUCCAGCCAGGAUUUGUAAAACUUUUCGGGAGGUGCUCCUGCUGACCAGCUAGGGCUGGGGAGUAGAUUUGGGUCAGAGCGCCGGCAAGUCGGAAGGGGGCGGCGGACCGUAAAGAGAUGAGGGCGGCCGCAGGCCCACGAGCUUGGGGACCCAGCUUGAGGCCCAGGAAGGAGCUUGGGGGCUGGAAAACUGGCCGAUCCAAGGAGAGACAGCUGUCGCUUACAUUUUCUCUUUCGGCAGUGACAGUUCAAUUUCCAUGCUCCCGAGGCUAAUAAUAACGCGAUUAGCGGGUGACCUGCAGAGACAGAGUUUUAUGAAUUCUCCAUGUUCUUGUGGCCGGUUACGGUAUUUGGGUUUAGUGCUGGGGAAUUAUUUUUAUUAGUCGAUGAAAAGAAAAUUAAAAGGAGAUUUAUUUCGUCCGCUCAAGCCUUUCCCUGUAUUUGGAUGCGGGUGCCUGUCCACGCGGACCCCUGUGUGGGCAAUCCAGAAAGGAACGCGUGGCUAAUGUGUGUUUCCCAUCUCUGGACAGACCCUAUUUCCUCACCGCACUUAUUUGUUGUCAAAAUCUCCUUUGGGCCUUCACACAGUUUAGUGGAAGUUCUUUCAGGUCUUAGGACAGCUCAUAAUUGGGGAGGUUAUUUUAUUUUAUUUUUGCGAUGGUGGAAAAGGGAGAAGUUACUUAACUGAGUAUGCAGACGCUCUGUCCUGUCCUCCGGUACUUUUCUCUGGGAGAGGGGAUACAGGUCAUAGGGAGCUGGUGUAGGGUCGCGUGUCCAAAAGGAUCAACACUCGGAUCAUAAUAGGGGACUCAGCUGGCAGUUUUCUUUCUGAAGUUCUUCUCAGAAAAUAAUGAGGAGAGAAAAAUGAAGAUUUGAAACAAGGAGAGACCAGUUCAGGGAUGUGAACAGGAGGACCUGGUGUCCAGAAUGCUGUUUCCUCGAUCCUCCAGGAUGGGGGUAGGGGUUGAGGACCUAAUAGAGAACUUUACCUGACAGAGAGUUGAGGUAAUGAGUUCCCAUUACCUUUAUAACUUUUUUUUUAAAGGGCCUUUGGGUUAGAGAAAACGAAAUAUGUUUGUGGGGCAAAGGUCCAGGAGGAGGAAAUAGCUGGAAGCCAAGAGCACUGGAGGUGCCUUUUUCAGAGCCGGGCUGCAUCCUGCUGAGCCUCGUUCGGUGGUGGACCAGGGGAAUCUCCAAGGUCCCUGCAGUGGCCAAGACUCUUAGGACCAGGACAAACAGGAUGUAGGAUGAAAAACAGAUCUUUCAUUCAAAGAGCGCUCCGAUGUGGAGGCUUUGCAGUCAGGGGAGUGGAGGAGGCAGAGCUUUGGGCUUUGAGCCUGGAGGGUAACACUGGAGGGCUUGGGGUUCCUUUUAGACCUUUCUUUUUGUCUUUAAUACAGACCCCUAACAAUACAAAGGCAGGGCCACGUGUAAAGAUGUGUGUAUGGUGGAGGCGGGAAAGGGGGCGCAGGGACUCCCAUCAUGCCCAGGGCCGUGUCUCUGCCCGGCUGGGCCUUGCCAUUGUCUUUAAACUUUCUUCUCCCAAUUAGCACAAGAGGGGCUGGACUCACUGUGGGGCUCAGCUGCCCUAGGCCGAUGAGAAAUCAGGAACAGGAAAAAACCCCACCACGACAAGAAUAUUACCAAGGGCCUGGGGGAAUUAAACAAACAUGCACACGUACACUGGCCAUCCGCCUUAGAUCAGCUGUAUUUAUCAUUCUCUAUUUAUCAUUCUCUCUGACCCGUACCAUCAUUUCAGCCCUCCCUCAAAAUCCCGGCAUCUACAGGUAACUUAGGGGUCCGAUUUUAAUGCUCAGCUUUUAUUUAUUUAUUUAUUUUUUCCUCAAAGACGUGGCUUUUGCUUUUUCACAGCCCGUUUUUCUUUCGGCGUCCGGACAGAGCUGGCUUUAGUUGGCGCCGAGCGCGCCCGCAGCCUGGGGCGCCAACCUGCAGCAGCGGGGGACCGGCCCGGCCUGCUCGCUGUAGGUCUUCACACAUCAGAGGACACACAGUAUGUAUUUCAAAAUUUUCCACCAAGCCUGGUGGUUCCCCGCCUCCCCCAGACCCUGAGGCUCUCAGGGCCCUGGAGGAGGGCCUGCGAGGUACCCUCAUUUUCACACCAAGGCCAGCGCUCUAGUCUUUCGGAGAAGCCGCCAGGAAACUCAGCCUCUGCGGGCUGGGGAGGGUCUCAAAACCCGUCUCCGAAAAGCCUGGCUCUCGGGUUGGCUUGCCCGCCGCCUCUCACACAACAGCAACGGAGGAAACUUUGGAGCCACGAUCGCCGGGAACAGCUGCUCCGGCGGCUGCGGCCUUGGAAGUGUAUUUCGGGCACGCGGCGGCGCCAUCUGCGUUCGGACCGCAGCCUCUGCUCCACCCGGCUUCCCCAGCUCCGGUUUGGGCCUUUCCCGCCCAAAUCCACAGCCCAGUGCGACCGAAGCCCGAUCCCCCGCGGAGAAAAAUAAUUUAAACCUUCUGCGAAGGGAUUUCCCCCUCCGAAGCCCGUAGGCCUGAGCCUCUGCAGCCAAGGCGUUCGGCGGCGGCCUGAGGAGGUGGCGACGCACGCGGGUGGGCACACAAAGCAGGCACACCCAAUAACGCCAGGGAGAUCCGCACGCACGUGCACUCACGUCCGGCGCUCGCGUUCUCCCAGGCGGCCGGCUGCGCAACCUGUAGUAGAAUAAGACAAGAAAAAGCCCUCGCAGUUCCCAGGGCCCUUGCUUCCUUCGAAUUAUCAAAAUUAACUUGUCACGGGGAUUAAUCUGCCAGUUUAUGGUUUGUUCGCUCAGAGUAGAACUCCAAGAUUUAAAACAGAGGAAAUGAUUCUUCACUUAUGUUUAAGUAACGAGGAAAAGCGAUGCGUUUGAGACUGUGGGGGAGAAUAUACUUGUGCAAGGCAAGCACCAGCCAGGGCGCAGGCCGCGGCUUGGACUCUAGUGUUAGGGUAGGAGGCGCGCGGCGCAAGACGCUUAAAGGUCUUUCUCCGGAAGAACUUCUGUUCCUUGGUGGUGCGUGCGUCCCGACGCCCGUGCAGGCCUAGAGGUGCAGGCUCUGCGCCCUGCAAAGAAGCCAAGUGUGGGGCCUUCUGAACGUGACCUGGGUGUCAGGUCAAAACAGUCUUCCACUGUGGCUGCCUCUUUGGUAAAUGACAUUGUGUCACGAAUCCGAAAGGGAGUGAAGGGGUAGGCAAGGUCUGAAUUCGUUGUAGGCCGGGUUAGGAUGGUGGUUUGCUGGGGCCUGACUGCCAAAUGCCUUUUUUUUGCACGGUCUGGGAGAGCGCACCGCAGUGUCCCCAGAGAGGUGGGGAAGGGAAUGGAGACGUUCUGCGUAAAACUCCAGUCCUGGCGUGAUAGCAAGACGGAAGGCACUCGGAAGGAGAUUAUUUUAACGCGUUUUAUCCCAUGAAUGGAGCAAAGUGCUCGAGGACAGUGGGGAGGACAGGGAAUGGAGGAAAUCCUGAUGCCCAGAGUUUGGACUGUGGUGGAAGGAAAGUGGAUUGGGCUGUGGUUUGCACCUCCGCAGGUCGCCCCCUUGUAUCCCGCCACCUCCACUUGCAGGGGAGGGAGGUUUCAGAAAUGGGUGUAAAGCGUGUGGAAGGCGCGCGCGCGGGAGAUGGGGGUGGGGCGGGGCGGUGUUUUGGCUUCUUGGCUACUCGGUGCAGGGCAGCCCCUUGCCCGGCUGGCUCCUGCCUCUCGGAGACCGGUCCGAAGAGCACAAGCCUAAUGGGCGGUGAAGGCUUUCCUGGACAGAUCAGCUUACAGCCUAGGUGCGCAGCGAUUCUAAAUUCGCGUCUUCCACGCCCAACCCAACGCUCUUUCUUAUAGAACACUUUAUUUGGAUUCAGAACUAGCGCCUUUGGGUUUCCUGAUUUUAUACGCAAAAACUCCCAGAAAGAAAAGUUCACGAGGUGACGUUCAUGCAGGGGGAAAGGGGAAUUAAAUUUCUUACAGUGGAAUUUGGAUCUAAAUUAUAUUGAUAUGUAUAUCUGCAUAUCGGCUGCCAUUUCCUGUGCGUUCCCCCAUUACUUCAGAUGGUGUCUUGAACAUCUUUUAAUUAUUAAAGAAAAUUAGAUUAGCAUAUUUAAUUAAUAUACCUGGCACGUGAGGAGCAAGCCAAAAAUGGUAUGAAAUGCUUAACCUGGGAGCUAAAACUGAAAUGAUUGGGUAUUGGUGGUUUGUGUACCCCGAUAUAUUUGUAUAAUUUCCUUUGUGUGGACAAGUUUAAUGGAAGCAAGUCCCUCAUCAUGAAUCCUUCAUUUUGGGCCACAAAGAGGGAGGGACAAAUACAUUUUGGCUCAGAAGACCGAAACAUUUUGUUCAUCCAAGCCUCUCUAAGGGCAUUGCUAGCAUUAAAGAGUGAAAUAUUCCAGGUCUGUCACAAUCCUUUUCUGUAUUGCCAAAAUUAUAAUAUUAGUAAGAUGAGAGCACUUUUUUUGAGAUCCUGGUUAUGGACUCUAACAGAAGUUUAUUUCUCAUACCCCAGGAGAAAAAUGAUUACUUCUUAAAUCUGAAAGUUUCUUCUCUAGGUGAUGGUAGAUUUUUUUUUUUUUUUGUAAGCCAGGCUGGACUGUGCAAAUUCCACAGGGAUAAAGAACAGAUUGGCAUUUCACUUUCCUUUCUGGAAAUGCAGAAAUCUGUCCAAUGAUUGUUCAAGGGUGUAACUGGUUAUUGCUUUCUUACUCCCAAAAGACAAAGUAGUUAAGCAAGGGGAGAAUAUUUGAGUGGCUUUUUAAGUUUUAACUUUUGGGGAUAUUUUUUCACAGAGAAAAGUAGGGAGCUGAUGGAACGUGGAAUCUUUGUCCCUUCUUCCUCUCAUCCAGGAAGCCCGCGUUGCCCACCGAGACAAAGGGACAGCAGGCAAUUGUUCUUCAUGCUGUUCUUGGAGAUUUGAAACAAUGAAGUAAUGCGUUUCUCAGAAAAGCAAAGAAAUCACUCAGCUUUACUAAGUAGACUGAGAAAUGACUAUAUUCUGCAAGAAGCCAGCCAGAUGGCCUCCCUUCAAGAGCUGAGCGUUCGCUGCGAGGGAAGUCCCGCCUCGAGGCAUCCUGGUUCCCAAGCAUCAAUCACACCAGGUCCCAGGGCCCAGAAUUGUAACCUAGUGGAUAGGUGACUUGGCUGUUUCAGGCCUCCCAUUCUUGCUACUGAAAAAUACUCGCUUUUCACAGUGGGGAGGGGCAAGCAUUUGGGCCGUAAGUGGUUGUGAAUGCAGCAAUGCUCUCCCUGGAUAUGAUAAAUCUUUCUUAAUUCACUUGCCUAAUACUUUGAUUUCUUUGUUUGCAGCAAAACUGGAGAAGGGCUCCGUGUAUAUAUAUCUAUGCACUGUAUAUGAAAAGAAAGGGCUUAGUUAGAAAAUUAAUUGUAUACGCAAGCUUGCAGAGGCAUACUGAAUUGUGAAACAUUU
Bubalus bubalis (water buffalo) is the source of this 6305-nucleotide long non-coding RNA. RefSeq lists it as uncharacterized. NCBI's taxonomy places the organism in Eukaryota, Metazoa, Chordata, Mammalia, Artiodactyla, Bovidae. The transcript has 2 exons. The record is from RefSeq and is a predicted model, not a curated record.